Molecule: microRNA precursor, 82 nt
Filed under: Chlorocebus sabaeus (green monkey)
Lineage: Eukaryota; Metazoa; Chordata; Mammalia; Primates; Cercopithecidae
Description: miRNA (ENSCSAG00000022284.1)
Source: RNAcentral
UAUCACAGGCUUUAAACCCACUGUGAUAUUAGGAGUAAUAUCUCUCCAGGAUAUUAUGAAUAAUAUCACAGUGGGUGUACAC